GGGGUUGUAGCUCAAUGGUAGAGCACUCACCUAGCACGUGUGAAGCCCUGGGUUUAAUUCUCAACACCA
Molecule: transfer RNA, 69 nt
Filed under: Ictidomys tridecemlineatus (thirteen-lined ground squirrel)
Lineage: Eukaryota; Metazoa; Chordata; Mammalia; Rodentia; Sciuridae
Description: Spermophilus tridecemlineatus (thirteen-lined ground squirrel) tRNA
Rfam family: tRNA
About the family: Transfer RNA (tRNA) molecules are approximately 80 nucleotides in length.
Source: Rfam by way of RNAcentral